Molecule: transfer RNA, 74 nt
Filed under: Ilyonectria destructans
Lineage: Eukaryota; Fungi; Ascomycota; Sordariomycetes; Hypocreales; Nectriaceae
Also listed under: 15 other names
Description: tRNA-Val
Source: RNAcentral
GGUUCCGUGGUCUAGCUGGUUAUGGCAUCUCGUUAACACCGAGAAGGUCCCCGGUUCGAGCCCGGGCGGAAUCA